This 417-nucleotide ribosomal RNA is filed under the name uncultured bacterium. RNAcentral describes it as "bacterial SSU rRNA". It matches the Rfam family "Bacterial small subunit ribosomal RNA", at positions 29 to 490 of the family's 1533-position model. The record is from RNAcentral.
AACGAACGCUGGCGGCAGGCCUAACACAUGCAAGUCGAACGCCGUAGCAAUACGGAGUGGCAGACGGGUGAGUAACACGUGGGAACGUACCCUUCGGUUCGGAAUAACUCAGGGAAACUUGAGCUAAUACCGGAUACGUCCGAGAGGAGAAAGAUUUAUCGCCGAGGGAUCGGCCCGCGUCUGAUUAGCUUGUUGGUGAGGUAACGGCUCACCAAGGCGACGAUCAGUAGCUGGUCNGAGAGGAUGAUCAGCCACAUUGGGACUGAGACACGGCCCAAACUCCUACGGGAGGCAGCAGUGGGGAAUAUUGGACAAUGGGGGCAACCCUGAUCCAGCCAUGCCGCGUGAGUGACCUGAAGGCCUUAGGGUCGUAAAGCUCUUUCGGCGGGAAGAUAAUGACGGCACCCGCAGAAGAAG